GACGUAGGUGGCGAACGUUAUCCGGAAUUAUUGGGCGUAAAGGGUGCGCAGAUGGUCUGACAAGUUAGCAGUGGCAAAUCGAGGCUCAACCUCGUGGAAACUGGUAAUACUGUCUGACUCGAGUACAGGAGAGGUUAACGGAACUCCAUGUGGAGCGGUAAAAUGUGUAGAUAUAUGGAAGAACAUCAAUAACGGCGAAGGCAGUUAACUAUUCUGUUACUGACAUUGAGGCACGAAAGCGUGGGGAGCAAAACGG
This 256-nucleotide ribosomal RNA is filed under the name uncultured bacterium. RNAcentral's name for it is "partial 16S ribosomal RNA". It matches the Rfam family "Bacterial small subunit ribosomal RNA", at positions 524 to 776 of the family's 1533-position model. The record is from RNAcentral.